AUUGAACGCUGGCGGCAUGCCUUACACAUGCAAGUCGAGCGGCAGCGCGGGGGCAACCCUGGCGGCGAGCGGCGAACGGGUGAGUAAUGCCAUCGGAACGUGUCCUUUUGUGGGGAUAACCAGUCGAAAGACUGGCUAAUACCGCAUGAGCUCGUAAGAGGAAAGCAGGGGACCCGCAAGGGCCUUGCGCGAGAGGAGCGGCCGAUGCCCGAUUAGCUAGNGGUGGGUAAUGGCCCACCAAGGCGACGAUCGGUAGCUGGUCUGA
This 265-nucleotide ribosomal RNA is filed under the name uncultured bacterium. Its description in RNAcentral is "partial 16S ribosomal RNA". It matches the Rfam family "Bacterial small subunit ribosomal RNA", at positions 29 to 295 of the family's 1533-position model. The record is from RNAcentral.